AUUGAACGCUGGCGGCGUGCUUAACACAUGCAAGUCGAUCGGUAACAGGUGUAGCAAUACAUGCUGACGAGAGGCGGACGGGUGAGUAAUGCUUGGGAAUCUGCCUAUUAGUGGGGGACGAACCCGGGAAACGUACGGGCGUAAUACCGCAUACGCUCUACGGAGGAAAGACCGGGGACCGCAAGGCCUGGCGCUAAUAGAUGAGCCCAACGUCGGAUUAGCUAGUUGGUAGGGUAACGGCCUACCAAGGCGACAAUCCGUAGCUGGUCUGAGAGGACGACCAGCCACACCGGAACUGAGACACGGUCCGGAC
Molecule: ribosomal RNA, 313 nt
Filed under: uncultured bacterium
Lineage: Bacteria
Description: bacterial SSU rRNA
Rfam family: Bacterial small subunit ribosomal RNA
Source: RNAcentral